Molecule: long non-coding RNA, 1394 nt
Filed under: Homo sapiens (human)
Lineage: Eukaryota; Metazoa; Chordata; Mammalia; Primates; Hominidae
Description: non-protein coding lnc-PSMA1-2:2
Source: RNAcentral
GGCAGCACCUCCUUGAUUCUCAGUUUUGCUGGAGGCCGCAACCAGGCCCGCGCCGCCACCAUGUUUCGAAAUCAGUAUGACAAUGAUGUCACUGUUUGGAGCCCCCAGGGCAGGAUUCAUCAAAUUGAAUAUGCAAUGGAAGCUGUUAAACAAGGUUCAGCCACAGUUGGUCUGAAAUCAAAAACUCAUGCAGUUUUGGUUGCAUUGAAAAGGGCGCAAUCAGAGCUUGCAGCUCAUCAGAAAAAAAUUCUCCAUGUUGACAACCAUAUUGGUAUCUCAAUUGCGGGGCUUACUGCUGAUGCUAGACUGUUAUGUAAUUUUAUGCGUCAGGAGUGUUUGGAUUCCAGAUUUGUAUUCGAUAGACCACUGCCUGUGUCUCGUCUUGUAUCUCUAAUUGGAAGCAGUAUCCUUUUUAUGUUAGCAUUUAUGGAUAUGAACUUUGAAGGGUUUUGAUACUUGUGUUAAUUAUUAGGAAUAUAAUAAUAAUAUGACAUAGGUAAGAUUGUGAAAACUUUAAAACAACAAAUUGGAUUGCUCUUUCAUUAGCCUUUAUAAGCAAUUUAUAUUUGCUAGACACAAAUAAGCCCAACUUCAGGAAAAUCAUCUAAGCAUCUUUUUAGAGGGGAUUUAAAGUUUCUUAAUGGUUCUAGAUGUCCCAAGAAAUCCUAGACCCCUUGUAUCCAAAACAAAUCAGGUUUUAGAUGGGAAGAAAUUAUUUUGCUGGCACUCUUUCUUAGGUUCGGUAGAAAGUCAAACAUUUUAUAUUAGGCCAAAGAAAUAGUGUCCUAUUGCAUUAUUUCUCUGGUGGAUUAUGCAACAAUUAAAGAAUAAGCCAGAGACCUUUGUUAAUAAUGUAUAAUUUGAAAAUAAAGACAGUACUUCAUUCCUUGUUAAAACAAGCUCGUUAACCAGUCUAAGAGACCCAGAUACCAACACAACGAUAUGGCCGGAGACCAUAUGGUGUUGGUCUCCUUAUUGCUGGUUAUGAUGUAAUUUAAAUGAACUAGUUAAACAUGGUCUGCGUGCCUUAAGAGAGACGCUUCCUGCAGAACAGGACCUGACUACAAAGCCUGCUCAACCUGCUGAUGAACCUGCAGAAAAGGCUGAUGAACCAAUGGAACAUUAAGUGAUAAGCCAGUCUAUAUAUGUAUUAUCAAAUAUGUAAGAAUACAGGCACCACAUACUGAUGACAAUAAUCUAUACUUUGAACCAAAAGUUGCAGAGUGGUGGAAUGCUAUGUUUUAGGAAUCAGUCCAGAUGUGAGUUUUUUCCAAGCAACCUCACUGAAACCUAUAUAAUGGAAUACAUUUUUCUUUGAAAGGGUCUGUAUAAUCAUUUUCUAGAAAGUAUGGGUAUCUAUACUAAUGUUUUUAUAUGAAGAACAUAGGUGUCUU